Molecule: transfer RNA, 73 nt
Filed under: Pochonia chlamydosporia 123
Lineage: Eukaryota; Fungi; Ascomycota; Sordariomycetes; Hypocreales; Clavicipitaceae
Description: tRNA-Val (TAC) (tRNA-Val-TAC-1-1)
Rfam family: tRNA
About the family: Transfer RNA (tRNA) molecules are approximately 80 nucleotides in length. Their secondary structure includes four short double-helical elements and three loops (D, anti-codon, and T loops).
Source: RNAcentral
GUCCGCAUAGUGUAGCGGUUAUCAUGUUUGCUUUACACGCAAAAGGUCCCAGGUUCGAACCCUGGUGCGGACA